CCUACGGGAGGCAGCAGUGAGGAAUAUUGGUCAAUGGGCGGAAGCCUGAACCAGCCAAGUAGCGUGCAGGAUGACGGCCCUACGGGUUGUAAACUGCUUUUAUACGGGAAUAACGCGCCUUACGUGUAGGGCAUUGCAUGUACCGGAUGAAUAAGGACCGGCUAAUUCCGUGCCAGCAGCCGCGGUAAUACGGAAGGUGCGGGUGUUGUCCGGAUUUAUUGGGUUUAAAGGGAGCGUAGGCCGCAUGUCAAGCGUGCUGUAAAAUGUCCGGGCUCAACCCGGGCCUUGCAGAGAGAACUGGCGUGCUUGAGUCCGCGGAAAGGAGGCGGAAUUCGUCGUGUGGCGUUGAAAGGCU
Molecule: ribosomal RNA, 355 nt
Filed under: uncultured bacterium
Lineage: Bacteria
Description: partial 16S ribosomal RNA
Rfam family: Bacterial small subunit ribosomal RNA
Source: RNAcentral